AGAUUGAACGCUGGCGGCAUGCCUUACACAUGCAAGUCGAACGGCAGCGCGGGGCAACCUGGCGGCGAGUGGCGAACGGGUGAGUAAUAUAUCGGAACGUACCCUGGAGUGGGGGAUAACGUAGCGAAAGUUACGCUAAUACCGCAUACGAUCUAAGGAUGAAAGUGGGGGAUUCGCAAGAACCUCAUGCUCCUGGACGCGGCCGAUAUCUGAUUAGCUAGGUUGGUAGGGUAAGGCCUACCAAGGCA
RNAcentral lists this ribosomal RNA (248 nucleotides) under uncultured soil bacterium. RNAcentral's name for it is "partial 16S ribosomal RNA". It matches the Rfam family "Bacterial small subunit ribosomal RNA", at positions 26 to 275 of the family's 1533-position model. The record is from RNAcentral.